CAAUUCCUUCCUGAGAUUAUUUGAGAGAGGAUUUUCUGCAAGUUUUGUCUUUGAAAGCCUCAUCACUCCCCAUCUAUUGUGGUACUUGCGUACUUGCUGUGUGUGAUGAGAGCAAGGGAGAUUUCCACAUUUGGAACGGCUCCUGAGUGUCUCGACACAUCUUACCGAGCUCUCCCGAGGAUCAGUGGAACAGGCAGCUGCCUUCUUCAUCCCCUCUCAUGCUGAUACUUAAGCAGUUGACAACUUUCAUCCCAAGUCAAAGGCAGGCGAGGGGCAGAUCACUGAUGACUCUUCAUGCAAUGAGAAACACCUAACAAAAGAAUGUCUAUAAAUGACUAUCCUUUCCUAGGAUUUUAUAGAAUGUUUAGUACAAUAGUUGGUAACGUGUGAAAGCAACACACUUAAAAAGGAAAGCACAUAGUUUUAUAGCAUUGACCUUUUUCGCUGUAAUACAGGUUUUUGUAGCAAUUUGGUUGGAGAAAGCCAUGUAUCUGCUUCUUACCCUGAAACAAACAAAAAUAAAUGGACAGAAGAGUCGAUA
Chiroxiphia lanceolata (lance-tailed manakin) is the source of this 541-nucleotide long non-coding RNA. RefSeq lists it as uncharacterized. NCBI's taxonomy places the organism in Eukaryota, Metazoa, Chordata, Aves, Passeriformes, Pipridae. The record is from RefSeq and is a predicted model, not a curated record. The transcript has 2 exons.